UGGGGGAUAUUGCACAAUGGGGGGAAACCCUGAUGCAGCGACGCCGCGUGGAGGAAGAAGGUUUUCGGAUUGUAAACUCCUGUCGUUAGGGACGAUAAUGACGGUACCUAACAAGAAAGCACCGGCUAACUACGUGCCAGCAGCCGCGGUAAAACGUAGGGUGCAAGCGUUGUCCGGAAUUACUGGGUGUAAAGGGAGCGCAGGCGGACCGGCAAGUUGGAAGUGAAAACCAUGGGCUCAACCCAUGAAUUGCUUUCAAAACUGCUGGCCUUGAGUAGUGCAGAGGUAGGCGGAAUUCCCGGUGUAGCGGUGGAAUGCGUAGAUAUUAGGAGGAACAUCAGUGGCGAAGGCGGCUUACUGGGCUUUAACUGACGCCGAGGCUCGAAAGCGUGGGGAGCAAACAGGAUUAGAUACCCUGGUAGU
RNAcentral lists this ribosomal RNA (423 nucleotides) under uncultured Gemmiger sp. RNAcentral describes it as "bacterial SSU rRNA". It matches the Rfam family "Bacterial small subunit ribosomal RNA", at positions 355 to 794 of the family's 1533-position model. The record is from RNAcentral. Lineage: Bacteria; Bacillati; Bacillota; Clostridia; Eubacteriales; Oscillospiraceae.